GACAGAGGAGGCAAGCGUUAUCCGGAAUUAUUGGGCGUAAAGCGUCCGUAGGUGGUUUGACAAGUCUGGGGUUAAAGCCCGGAGCCCAACUCCGGAUCGGCCCUGGAAACUGUCAGACUUGAGUAAGGAAGGAGUUGCGGGAAUUCCCGGUGUAGCGGUGAAAUGCGUAGAUAUCGGGAAGAACACCAGCGGCGAAAGCGCGCAACUGGGCCAUUACUGACACUGAUGGACGAAAGCUAGGGGAGCGAAUGGG
RNAcentral lists this ribosomal RNA (253 nucleotides) under uncultured bacterium. RNAcentral's name for it is "partial 16S ribosomal RNA". It matches the Rfam family "Bacterial small subunit ribosomal RNA", at positions 524 to 776 of the family's 1533-position model. The record is from RNAcentral.